Molecule: ribosomal RNA, 828 nt
Filed under: uncultured bacterium
Lineage: Bacteria
Description: bacterial SSU rRNA
Rfam family: Bacterial small subunit ribosomal RNA
Source: RNAcentral
GUAGGUGGUUUGUCGCGUCGUCUGUGAAAUUCCGGGGCUUAACUCCGGGCGUGCAGGCGAUACGGGCAUAACUUGAGUACUGUGGGGGUAACUGGAACUCCUGGUGUAGCGGUGAAAUGCGCAGAUAUCAGGAGGAACACCGAUGGCGAAGGCAGGUUACUGGGCAGUUACUGACGCUGAGGAGCGAAAGCAUGGGUAGCGAACAGGAUUAGAUACCCUGGUAGUCCAUGCCGUAAACGGUGGGCGCUAGGUGUGAGGGCCUUUUCACGACUUUCGUGCCGUAGCUAACGCAUUAAGCGCCCCGCCUGGGGAGUACGGCCGCAAGGCUAAAACUCAAAGGAAUUGACGGGGGCCCGCACAAGCGGCGGAGCAUGUGGAUUAAUUCGAUGCAACGCGAAGAACCUUACCUGGGCUUGACAUACACUGGAUCGGGCUAGAGAUAGUCUUUCCCUUUGUGGCUGGUGUACAGGUGGUGCAUGGUUGUCGUCAGCUCGUGUCGUGAGAUGUUGGGUUAAGUCCCGCAACGAGCGCAACCCUUGUCUUAUGUUGCCAGCAUUUGGUUGGGGACUCAUGAGAGACUGCCGGGGUCAACUCGGAGGAAGGUGGGGAUGACGUCAAAUCAUCAUGCCCCUUAUGUCCAGGGCUUCACACAUGCUACAAUGGUCGGUACAACGCGCAGCGACACUGUGAGGUGGAGCGAAUCGCUGAAAGCCGGCCUUAGUUCGGAUUGGGGUCUGCAACUCGACCCCAUGAAGUCGGAGUCGCUAGUAAUCGCAGAUCAGCAAUGCUGCGGUGAAUACGUUCCCGGGCCUUGCACACACCGCCCGU